This 2298-nucleotide long non-coding RNA is filed under the name Citrus sinensis (sweet orange). Its description in RNAcentral is "long non-coding RNA (CSIN_LNC004329)". The record is from RNAcentral. Lineage: Eukaryota; Viridiplantae; Streptophyta; Magnoliopsida; Sapindales; Rutaceae.
UUGAUAAUUAAACAAUUUUUAAUACUAAUCACACCCCCCAACCAGCUUAUUGCUAGCCCUCUAGCAAUUAAAGCGUUAUAUUAAAUUAAGAUUUAUAAAAUUCACAUGCAAGUUAAUAGUUGUUCAUCUAUCCUCUAAAUUAUCAAAUAAAUGAACUCUCCCAAAUUUCUUUACCACAUUGAUGUUCACUCAUUAUCCAGAAUAUCAUCAAACCUUCUUUUGUGCUCUAAUAAUUAACACAAUACUUAUGGGGCUUCAUUAAAAGAAAGACAACAUUCUCGUUCCAAAAUUCAUUAGAAAUUAUAUCUUUAGGCAAUAGAUUAUUCACACACACACACACACACACACACACACACACACACACACACAUAUAUAUAUAUAUAUAUAUAUAUAUAUAUAUUUAAACUGAUUCUCUUCACAGUUCGUAAAUACAAUAAUUUGCAUCCAAUGUUAAAUUGAGUUGUGUUCACAUUUUCAUAAUCUUCUUCUACCUGGUCAUUAAUUUAUGUCAACAUAAGUUAAGAUUUAAUUAUCUUUAUAAUAUUAUCUAAUAAAUUAUUAAUUGAAUCUUUAUGAAAGAUCGGUCAAAAGUUUUAACUCAACAAUGAAUCCAAAUUUUGUAUACAUAGCAAACAAAAAUUAUUUUAAAAAAUGAAAAAUUACCAAAUCAAUCUAAUGAUAAUUAACAAUAAUUAUUUUAAAAACUACAGAAUAAUCAAAUUAAUUUGAGCAUAGUAUUUUUUACCAAUUGAUGUGGAACAAACAAUUCGCAUUAAGUUACCAAUCUGAUUUGUUAGAGAAGAUAGUGCUGCAAGCAUGUUUUCUACGUGUAUAUUACUCAUAGCCUCGUCCUAAUAUAUGGUUCAUAUGUGUCAAUAUCUAGAAGAGAUAGUGGGCAUAUUUAGAAGGUAUCGCAUAAUCAUAUUUAUGGCAAUUCUCACCAUAUUUAAGAAUUAGUUGACGUUAAAGAGUUGACUCUUCUGAGGCUGUUUUUUUUUUUUUUUUUUUUGAUGAAUGAGGCUGUUAAUUUUUUCUUUGCUAAAGGAGUUAAGUAAUGAUGAUGUGAAUUGAAAUGUUUGUGAUGCGCAUGCUCUCAUGCGGGCCACUAAUUUAAUGUUUAGUCCAUUUUAUGCAUAAUAGCAAUCAUCAGGACUGUGGUUUGGGAUUAGUUGUGGGUAGGAAUGUCAAUGGGCACCGCCUGCAGCGGGUUUGUUAUUAUCAAACCCAAACCCAAAUCUAAACUUGUAAAAAAUUUAAAUUAUUAAAUUCACCCACAACCCACAGCGGGUUUUAAUUUAAAAAAAAACACACCCACAGCGGGUUUUGACAAUUACCAAACCCGUCAAAACCUGCAAUGGUACCCGGCGGAUUUUUUUACGGGUUUCCGUAUUUAAAAUCAUAAAUUGUUAAUAUAUAAAUUUAUAAUAAUAACCUCAAAUUUCAUAUCACAUACUCAAUUUUAUAUUUAAAUAAUGUAAAUGAAAAAUUAAAAUUUCAACAUCAAUCCAACACAAAUUCUCAAAUUUAAGUAUAAAUUACACAAAUCCAUUUAAUCACUCAUUAUCCAGAAUAUCAUCAAACCUUCUUUUGUGCUCAAGUAAUUAACACAAUACUUAUGGGGCUUCAUUAAAAGAAAAACAACAUUUUCGUUCUAAAAUUCAUUAGAAAUUAUAUCUUUAGGCAAUAGAUUAUUCACACAUUUUUUAUUUUAUAUAUUACAUUUCUAACCCCGUGUAGCGAGCUUUAGGUCAGUGACUCCCAGACCAGUUGACCUUAGGGCACUAGGUGUUGAAGCACCCCUACAGACUUAAUUACUCGGGUUUCUAAUAAACAAACAAUAUAUCUAUUACCCAUGUAGCGAGCUUUAGGUCAGUGACUCCCAGACCAGUUGACCUUAGGGCACUAGGUGUUGAAACACCCCUACGGACUUAAUUACUCGGGUUUCUAGAUAUAACAAAAUUAAAAACAUUUUUUUUUUGCAAUAUACACUUUCUACUACCUUAGAUACUAUUCCUAAUAAAUCAAAAGAACUAAAUGCUGUAAAAUUUUAACUUACAACCCACUAGUAUGUGUCAUAAUGUGUGUGUGAAGAAUGAUUCAAUAAUACCUGUUAAAUGAGUAAAUAAUUAAAUAACUUAAUAACCAAGUGGAGAGUUCACAAAUUCGGGUAAUUCAAAGAAAAGGGAACAAAAACAAUUUACUAUGAAUCUCAAAAUCAAAAUAUAAUACAACAAGACUAUUAGGAUGCGUCUCAAAAGUCGUGACUCUUUACACGGCCAUCCUAGACAAAAACAAAAA